GACGAUCAUGGCCAUGCGCUGGAACCAACAAAAGUUUGACAAGUUGGCUUCUACCCUUGCCCGCCGAUAUCGGAAGGCCACAAUAGCCCUGCAAUGCCAGUUGCAUAACCUGGAGGCCAUGAAAACGGAAAUGGACGUCUCAGACAAUCAACUGGAGAGGUGGAUCAUUGAUAUCAAUGAGUGGGCAGAAGCAACAACAUCCCCAAAUGAUGCUGAUGUUGCCGCUGUUGCCAGCCGAAUUGAGGAGCUGGUGGCAAGUGUUAAGAGGAGGUCCCAGCGUCUUUACAAGGAUAGUGACGGA
Molecule: long non-coding RNA, 301 nt
Organism: Cyprinus carpio carpio
Lineage: Eukaryota; Metazoa; Chordata; Actinopteri; Cypriniformes; Cyprinidae
Source: Ensembl